RNAcentral lists this long non-coding RNA (401 nucleotides) under Callithrix jacchus (white-tufted-ear marmoset). Its description in RNAcentral is "lncRNA (ENSCJAG00000076529.1)". The record is from RNAcentral. Lineage: Eukaryota; Metazoa; Chordata; Mammalia; Primates; Cebidae.
GGUCACAAAAUUAAAUGGCUAUAUGAGUUAGCCAGGCAAUGAAAAUCAGUGAAAUGGUCCAGAUGGAAGACGACAAUGAGGAAUGUGGCCUGGAAAUCAGAUGGCCAGAAGAGAGGUGGCAGCUCCACCUUGAACCCCUACUUGUGCAUUCCAUAGCAUCAAGAGGACUGAAGCAGCUCCAUGCAUACCAUCCUCACACAAUAGUCUUCAAAAACCAGAAGAGAGAAGGAGAAUCAUGGGUCAUCACUUCCUUAAGAAAAUCUUACCUUCGGUCAAUCCUGGUUGCACACCAGAAUGAAAUCUGGACAAUUACAAUAUCCACUGAAAUCAAGAUGGCUUUCAUUCCCUUAUUCAUUUUAUACUCCAUAAUAUGUCAUUUUCUAGUAAAAAUGUGUUUAUAA